UGGCGAACGGGUGAGUAACGCGUGAGUAACCUGCCCUGGAGUGGGGGGACAACAGUUGGAAACGACUGCUAAUACCGCAUAAGCCCACGAUCCGGCAUCGGAUUGAGGGAAAAGGAUUUAUUCGCUUCAGGAUGGACUCGCGUCCAAUUAGCUGGUUGGUGAGGUAACGGCCCACCAAGGCGACGAUUGGUAGCCGGACUGAGAGGUUGAACGGCCACAUUGGGACUGAGACACGGCCCAG
RNAcentral lists this ribosomal RNA (241 nucleotides) under uncultured bacterium. RNAcentral describes it as "partial 16S ribosomal RNA". It matches the Rfam family "Bacterial small subunit ribosomal RNA", at positions 96 to 334 of the family's 1533-position model. The record is from RNAcentral.